CGAGACCGGGUGUUCCUGUCCAAUUUCGGAUCGAAAAUUAAUCAGGAAAUAAGCAUGUAGAAAGCUUGAGUUCCCAUUGUUUGGACGAGGGUUCGAACCCCUCCGACUCCACUC
RNAcentral lists this transfer-messenger RNA (114 nucleotides) under Flavobacteriia bacterium. RNAcentral describes it as "partial transfer-messenger RNA". It matches the Rfam family "transfer-messenger RNA", at positions 257 to 374 of the family's 374-position model. Rfam says of the family: Bacterial tmRNA, also known as 10Sa RNA or SsrA, is named for its dual tRNA and mRNA-like properties. Its role is to liberate the mRNA from a stalled ribosome. To accomplish this part of the tmRNA is used as a reading frame that ends in a translation stop signal. The record is from RNAcentral. Lineage: Bacteria; Pseudomonadati; Bacteroidota; Flavobacteriia.